CCUACGGGGAGCUGCAGUGGGGAAUAUUGGGCAAUGGAGGCAACUCUGACCCAGCAACGCCGCGUGAAUGAUGAAGGUCUUCGGAUUGUAAAGUUCUUUUCUAAGGGAAGAACAAUGACGGUACCUGACUAAGAAGCACCGGCUAAAUACGUGCCAGCAGCCGCGGUAAUACGUAUGGUGCAAGCGUUAUCCGGAUUUACUGGGUGUAAAGGGAGCGCAGGCGGCGCGUUAAGCCUGGUGUGAAAGCCCGCGGCCCAACCGCGGGACUGCAUUGGGAACUGGCGCGCUGGAGUGCCGGAGGGGUAGGCGGAAGUCCUAGUGUAGCGGUGAAAUGCGUAGAUAUUAGGAGGAACACCAGUGGCGAAGGCGGCCUACUGGACGGUGACUGACGCUGAGGCUCGAAAGCGUGGGGAGCAAACAGGAUUAGAUACCCCUGUAGUC
RNAcentral lists this ribosomal RNA (441 nucleotides) under uncultured bacterium. Its description in RNAcentral is "partial 16S ribosomal RNA". It matches the Rfam family "Bacterial small subunit ribosomal RNA", at positions 338 to 795 of the family's 1533-position model. The record is from RNAcentral.